Molecule: long non-coding RNA, 231 nt
Filed under: Vicia faba (fava bean)
Lineage: Eukaryota; Viridiplantae; Streptophyta; Magnoliopsida; Fabales; Fabaceae
Source: RNAcentral
AUGAUUGUUGAAGAUGAACGACAUACAUAUGGAGGUAAUUUUGAUUACUCUUAUGAUAAUGUGGAUAACAAUCACUCAACAACUGAAACAUUUAGCGGUCCUCAUCCGAAUCUUGCAACAAGACUACAAAGAAGAGCAAAUAUUCGUGAAAAACAAGUUCAUCGUCAACUUCAAGGAGAUCUAGUCGAGUAUAUUUGGGAACGUUUUGGACAUGAAAAUGAUGAAAUUUAA